Molecule: non-coding RNA, 28 nt
Filed under: Rattus norvegicus (Norway rat)
Lineage: Eukaryota; Metazoa; Chordata; Mammalia; Rodentia; Muridae
Source: RNAcentral
UUGUAUUCAAUUUGUAGACGGGUGGGGA